This 495-nucleotide ribosomal RNA is filed under the name uncultured bacterium. Its description in RNAcentral is "partial 16S ribosomal RNA". It matches the Rfam family "Bacterial small subunit ribosomal RNA", at positions 28 to 507 of the family's 1533-position model. The record is from RNAcentral.
GACGAACGCUGGCGGCGUGCCUAAUACAUGCAAGUAGAACGCUGAAGGAGGAGCUUGCUUCUCUGGAUGAGUUGCGAACGGGUGAGUAACGCGUAGGUAACCUGCCUGGUAGCGGGGGAUAACUAUUGGAAACGAUAGCUAAUACCGCAUAAGAGUAGAUGUUGCAUGACAUUUGCUUAAAAGGUGCAAUUGCAUCACUACCAGAUGGACCUGCGUUGUAUUAGCUAGUUGGUGGGGUAACGGCUUACCAAGGCGACGAUACAUAGCCGACCUGAGAGGGGGAUCGGCCACCCUGGGACUGAGACACGGCCCAGACUCCUACGGGAGGCAGCAGUAGGGAAUCUUCGGCAAUGGACGGAAGUCUGACCGAGCAACGCCGCGGGAGUGAAGAAGGUUUUCGGAUCGUAAAGCUCUGUUGUAAGAGAAGAACGAGUGUGAGAGUGGAAAGUUCACACUGUGACGGUAUCUUACCAGAAAGGGACGGCUAACUACGUG